AGAGUUUGAUCCUGGCUCAGAACGUACGCUGGCGGCACGCCUAACACAUGCAAGUCGAACGCAGUAGCAAUACUGAGUGGCAGACGGGUGAGUAACAUGUGGGAAUCUGCCUUGUGGUUCAGGACAACAUUGGGAAACCGAUGCUAAUACUGGAUAAGCCCUUACGGGGAAAGUUUUAAUGCCAUAAGAUGAGCCCGCAUUUGAUUAGUUAGUUGGUGAGGUAAUGGCUCACCAAGACAAUGAUCAAUAGCUGAUCUGAGAGGAUGAUCAGCCACACUGGGACUGAGACACGGCCCAGACUCCUACGGGAGGCAGCAGUGGGGAAUCUUGCACAAUGGAGGAAACUCUGAUGCAGCGAUGCCGCGUGAGUGAAGAAGGCCUUUGGGUUGUAAAGCUCUUUUGUAGGGGAAGAUAAUGACUGUACCCUAAGAAUAAGGUCCGGCUAACUUCGUGCCAGCAGCCGCGGUAAUACGAGGGGAGCUAGCGUUGUCCGGAAUUAUUGGGCGUAAAGAGCUCGUAGGUCGUUUGUUACGUCGGAUGUGAAAACCUGAGGCUCAACCUCAGGCCUGCAUUCGAUACGGGCAAACUAGAGUUUGGUAGGGGAGACUGGAAUUCCCGGUGUAGCGGUGGAAUGCGCAGAUAUCAGGAGGAACACCAAUGGCGAAGGCAGGUCUCUGGGCCAAUACUGACACUGAGGAGCGAAAGUCUGGGGAGCGAACAGGAUUAGAUACCCUGGUAGUCCAGACCGUAAACGGUGGGCACUAGUUGUGGGAACCUUCCACGGUUUCUGCGACGCAGCUAACGCAUUAAGUGCCCCGCCUGGGGAGUACGAUCGCAAGAUUAAAACUCAAAGGAAUUGACGGGGCCCCGCACAAGCAGCGGAGCAUGCGGCUUAAUUCGACGCAACGCGAAGAACCUUACCAAGGCUUGACAUAUAGGGAAAAGUGGCAGAGAUGUCAUGUCCGCAAGGGCCCUAUACAGGUGGUGCAUGGUUGUCGUCAGCUCGUGUCGUGAGAUGUUGGGUUAAGUCCCGCAACGAGCGCAACCCUCGUUCUGUGUUGCCAGCAUUUAGUUGGGGACUCACAGGGGACUGCCGGGGUUAACUCGGAGGAAGGUGGGGAUGACGUCAAAUCAUCAUGCCCCUUAUGUCUUGGGCUGCACGCAUGCUACAAUGGCCGGUACAGAGGGCUGCAAUACCGUAAGGUGGAGCGAGUCCCAAAAAGCCGGUCUCAGUUCGGAUUGAGGUCUGCAACUCGACCUCAUGAAGUUGGAGUUGCUAGUAAUCGUAGAUCAGCAUCGCUACGGUGAAUACGUUCCCGGGGCUUGUACACACCGCCCGUCACGUCACGAAAGUCGGUAACACCCAAAGUCAGUGGCCCAACCGCAAGGGGGGAGCUGCCUAAGGUGGGAUCGGUGAUUGGGACGAAGUCGUAACAAGGUAGCCGUAA
This 1448-nucleotide ribosomal RNA is filed under the name uncultured bacterium. RNAcentral's name for it is "partial 16S ribosomal RNA". It matches the Rfam family "Bacterial small subunit ribosomal RNA". The record is from RNAcentral.